This 496-nucleotide ribosomal RNA is filed under the name uncultured bacterium. Its description in RNAcentral is "partial 16S ribosomal RNA". It matches the Rfam family "Bacterial small subunit ribosomal RNA", at positions 28 to 506 of the family's 1533-position model. The record is from RNAcentral.
GAUGAACGCUGGCGGCGUGCCUAAUACAUGCAAGUCGAGCGAACAGACGAGGAGCUUGCUCCUCUGACGUUAGCGGCGGACGGGUGAGUAACACGUGGAUAACCUACCUAUAAGACUGGGAUAACUUCGGGAAACCGGAGCUAAUACCGGAUAAUAUAUUGAACCGCAUGGUUCAGUAGUGAAAGACGGUUUUGCUGUCACUUAUAGAUGGAUCCGCGCCGCAUUAGCUAGUUGGUAAGGUAACGGCUUACCAAGGCAACGAUGCGUAGCCGACCUGAGAGGGUGAUCGGCCACACUGGAACUGAGACACGGUCCAGACUCCUACGGGAGGCAGCAGUAGGGAAUCUUCCGCAAUGGGCGAAAGCCUGACGGAGCAACGCCGCGUGAGUGAUGAAGGUCUUCGGAUCGUAAAACUCUGUUAUUAGGGAAGAACAAAUGUGUAAGUAACUAUGCACGUCUUGACGGUACCUAAGCAGAAAGCCACGGCUAACUACGU